GGAGAACUGAAAUCAAGUGAAUGGCAUAAUUAGAAGGCCAAAUGACCAAAAACCCUAACCUUGGUGCACUUUUUCACUUGUACUCAAUCCUUUUAAUUUUAUAAAUUUUAUCCACAAUCUUUGUCAUCAGUAACAAUUAUAGCGAAAUGAAUAGAAUUGGGAAUAAAAUGAUUUUUAACAGACUUGAAAACAAGAUUGGCAUAUAUUAGGAUUUUUUGUUCAUUUGGCCAAUUAGCAACAGUUUAAGCAAAGUAUAAUUCUUCCUUUUAUUAGUCCUCUUAAAU
RNAcentral lists this unclassified non-coding RNA (284 nucleotides) under Hevea brasiliensis (rubber tree). The record is from RNAcentral. Lineage: Eukaryota; Viridiplantae; Streptophyta; Magnoliopsida; Malpighiales; Euphorbiaceae.